RNAcentral lists this ribosomal RNA (207 nucleotides) under uncultured bacterium. RNAcentral's name for it is "partial 16S ribosomal RNA". It matches the Rfam family "Bacterial small subunit ribosomal RNA", at positions 568 to 774 of the family's 1533-position model. The record is from RNAcentral.
CACGUAGGCGGAUCAGAAAGUUGGGGGUGAAAUCCCAGGGCUCAACCCUGGAACUGCCUCCAAAACUCCUGGUCUUGAGUUCGAGAGAGGUGAGUGGAAUUCCAAGUGUAGAGGUGAAAUUCGUAGAUAUUUGGAGGAACACCAGUGGCGAAGGCGGCUCACUGGCUCGAUACUGACGCUGAGGUGCGAAAGUGUGGGGAGCAAACA